GCUGCUUCCACUUCGGGUUCUCGUUAUUUCUUUUGCAGAUGAAGUCAGCGCUCCCAGCAGGAUCCCUUGAAACGUUCUGGGGCACGGCUGAUACCCGCUCGUCCCCUUGCGAUGGCAAACGCCUGGUCCAGAUUUAGGGAGUCGCCGGUGGUGAGGCUGGACAAGAUCCUGAGCUAACACAGCAGCUGAAGUGGAUGAGAACAUCGAUAGCUCAGAAAGCUGUGAGAGCAUGUGCUGAAGAUGCCAAGACUUUCUGAAGCUGAACUUGUACGGGAACCAGAAUGGGAAGAUCCAGAUGAUGAUCUGCAGCGUCUGUAAGAUAUAAAUGGAGAAAGCAUGCAAAGAAAUAAGUUGAAAUCAAUUUUAACAUCCACUUUGAGUAGUCUGUAUCCUAUAAUAGCUGGAAGCCAAGUAUAUUUGAUAGGGGCCUUAUCAGAAUAUAAAGAUAACUUUACACCACUUUAAGCUUAUGAAUAUGAAUUUAAUACUAAAAAUGUACAGUAAGUUUAAUAUUGAAAGUAGAAAACAACUUCUAAAUGCAAUAUUUACUUAGGAAAAUAAAUCAAUAACGUACACAUUA
Cygnus olor (mute swan) is the source of this 580-nucleotide long non-coding RNA. RefSeq lists it as uncharacterized. NCBI's taxonomy places the organism in Eukaryota, Metazoa, Chordata, Aves, Anseriformes, Anatidae. The record is from RefSeq and is a predicted model, not a curated record. The transcript has 3 exons.